Molecule: ribosomal RNA, 246 nt
Filed under: uncultured bacterium
Lineage: Bacteria
Also listed under: 1 other name
Description: partial 16S ribosomal RNA
Rfam family: Bacterial small subunit ribosomal RNA
Source: RNAcentral
CAUGCCGUAAACGAUGUCUACUAGCCGUUGGGGUCUUUGAGACUUUAGUGGCGCAGCUAACGCGAUAAGUAGACCGCCUGGGGAGUACGGUCGCAAGACUAAAACUCAAAUGAAUUGACGGGGGCCCGCACAAGCGGUGGAGCAUGUGGUUUAAUUCGAUGCAACGCGAAGAACCUUACCUGGUCUUGACAUAGUAAGAACUUUCCAGAGAUGGAUUGGUGCCUUCGGGAGCUUACAUACAGGUGC